GGGAUUGUGGCUCAAUGGUAGAGCGCUUGCCUAGCACAUGAAAGGGCCUGAGUUCGAUCCUCAGCACCA
Molecule: non-coding RNA, 69 nt
Organism: Ictidomys tridecemlineatus (thirteen-lined ground squirrel)
Lineage: Eukaryota; Metazoa; Chordata; Mammalia; Rodentia; Sciuridae
Source: Rfam